This 295-nucleotide ribosomal RNA is filed under the name Nanos clypeatus. RNAcentral describes it as "partial 28S ribosomal RNA". It matches the Rfam family "Eukaryotic large subunit ribosomal RNA", at positions 678 to 939 of the family's 3401-position model. RNAcentral also lists the same sequence under 3 other names. Lineage: Eukaryota; Metazoa; Arthropoda; Insecta; Coleoptera; Scarabaeidae. The record is from RNAcentral.
GCAUGUGCGCGAGUCAUUGGGACUCUGUUAAACCUAAAGGCGCAAUGAAAGUAAAGGUCCGCCUCGCGCGGACCGAGGGAGGAUGGGUCCGUCCCCGGACGGGCCCCGCACUCCCGGGGCGUCUCGUCCUCAUCGCGAGGAGAGGCGCACCCAGAGCGUACACGCUGGGACCCGAAAGAUGGUGAACUAUGCCUGGUCAGGACGAAGUCAGGGGAAACCCUGAUGGAGGUCCGUAGCGAUUCUGACGUGCAAAUCGAUCGUCGGAACUGGGUAUAGGGGCGAAAGACUAAUCGAA